This 86-nucleotide transfer RNA is filed under the name Citrobacter freundii. RNAcentral describes it as "tRNA-Leu". It matches the Rfam family "tRNA". From Rfam's summary of the family: Transfer RNA (tRNA) molecules are approximately 80 nucleotides in length. Their secondary structure includes four short double-helical elements and three loops (D, anti-codon, and T loops). The record is from RNAcentral. Lineage: Bacteria; Pseudomonadati; Pseudomonadota; Gammaproteobacteria; Enterobacterales; Enterobacteriaceae.
GCGAAGGUGGCGGAAUUGGUAGACGCGCUAGCUUCAGGUGUUAGUGUCCUUAGGAUUUGGGGGUUCGAGUCCCCCCCCUCGCACCA